UACGUAGGUCCCGAGCGUUGUCCGGAUUUACUGGGUGUAAAGGGAGCGUAGACGGCAGAGCAAGUCUGAAGUGAAAGCCCGCGGCCCAACUGCGGGACUGCUUUGGAAACUGCCCGGCUAGAGUGCUGGAGAGGUAAGCGGAAUUCCUAGUGUAGCGGUGAAAUGCGUAGAUAUUAGGAGGAACACCAGUGGCGAAGGCGGCUUACUGGACAGUAACUGACGUUGGGGCUCGAAAGCGUGGGGAGCAAACAGG
Molecule: ribosomal RNA, 253 nt
Filed under: uncultured bacterium
Lineage: Bacteria
Description: partial 16S ribosomal RNA
Rfam family: Bacterial small subunit ribosomal RNA
Source: RNAcentral